GUGAGAUUGAGAGAGAGGAUGAGAGGGGAGAUGGGAGGGAGGAGUAACAAAAGUGAAAACAAAAACUUGAAAGUGAAAACAAUUUCAAGUAGAUUUCAGUUUUUUGUUUCUGUUUUUGUUUUCAGUUUCACUACUCCUCCCUCCCAUCUUCCCUUCUUUUCAGUUGGGAU
Molecule: microRNA precursor, 170 nt
Filed under: Prunus dulcis (almond)
Lineage: Eukaryota; Viridiplantae; Streptophyta; Magnoliopsida; Rosales; Rosaceae
Description: sRNA ncRNA
Source: RNAcentral